CUGGGCCUACGGGAGGCAGCAGUAGGGAAUCUUCCACAAUGGGCGAAAGCCUGAUGGAGCAACGCCGCGUGGGUGAAGAAGGUCUUCGGAUCGUAAAACCCUGUUGUUAGAGAAGAAAGUGCGUGAGAGUAACUGUUUACGUUUCGACGGUAUCUAACCAGAAAGCCACGGCUAACUACGUGCCAGCAGCCGCGGUAAUACGUAGGUGGCAAGCGUUAUCCGGAUUUAUUGGGCGUAAAGGGACCGCAGGCGGUCUUUUAAGUUUGAUGUGAAAGCCUUCCGCUUAACCGGAGUAGUGCAUUGGA
Molecule: ribosomal RNA, 305 nt
Filed under: uncultured bacterium
Lineage: Bacteria
Description: bacterial SSU rRNA
Rfam family: Bacterial small subunit ribosomal RNA
Source: RNAcentral